This 255-nucleotide ribosomal RNA is filed under the name uncultured bacterium. RNAcentral's name for it is "partial 16S ribosomal RNA". It matches the Rfam family "Bacterial small subunit ribosomal RNA", at positions 99 to 354 of the family's 1533-position model. The record is from RNAcentral.
CGGACGGGUGAGUAACGCGUGGGUAACCUGCCUCAUACAGGGGGAUAACAGUUAGAAAUGACUGCUAAUACCGCAUAAGCGCACAGGAUUGCAUGAUCCGGUGUGAAAAACUCCGGUGGUAUGAGAUGGACCCGCGUCUGAUUAGCUAGUUGGUGGGGUAACGGCCCACCAAGGCGACGAUCAGUAGCCGACCUGAGAGGGUGACCGGCCACAUUGGGACUGAGACACGGCCCAAACUCCUACGGGAGGCAGCAG